AGAGAAGAAAUAAUAAACAUCUGAGUUCGAAGAUAAACUCUGUGUCUCCUGCGUUUCAAUCCAAACUCUGAGUAAAAGAAGCAAGAGACUGAGGCAAAGAAAAUACAAAUCAGAGAAAAUUUAUACUACAGUGCCAGGUACAAGCCUCUUCUUUAUCGUGCCAGGUUCAAAAAUGUUGGCACCUCGGGGAGAAGGGGCUUCCAGGUUGGGUUUCAGCUGAGGACACAGCAUCUCAUCUGCUCACAGAGGGGCUUUGCUGUGUCCUGUCUCUAUGUACACAUAUUAUGUGUAUGUUCUGGUUUGGGAUUAGACAUGUGCCCUAGGUUCCUGCACAGUUGGUGUGCCUCAGAGUUAAACACUUUUUGUUACGAAAUCCAGGUAAUUGGAUGGCUUCAACACCAAGCAGACAGCUGUGUAUUUAAAUGUGACCUUAUACCCAGUCAGUCUCGUACCCUGCAUUUUGAAUAUGGUAUUUAGGUAAAUGCUGCGCUGAGCCUGAGGAAUUGUUAAAACUGACACCACAAGGGUAUGCUAAUGCAAUUAGAUGACUUGCAGUGUUGAGAUUUGGCCUUUGUUUGGGCUCAGUUGCAGUUUAACCAGAUGCAAAAAUAUGUAGACAGUAACUUGUACACUAUUGAAACCAGCCUAGCCGGGCAAAGGUGAGAGCCACAUGUCAAAGGUGGUGCUACAGACAGCUGCCACAAGAUCUUCCACUGACACUUGAUAUUGCCAGUUGAGAGGAAGCUUCAAAGCAGUGAGUACCAUCUGGACAUGUCCCUGGGAACUUGGGAUCUGUUGUUAUGGGUGGGGGGAUUUAUCACUAGCAGAAGGUUGUUCACGGCAUAUUGAGGUUAUCUUGACACAGGAGGAGAGGCUCCAAACACCCAACAUUUAUGCAGCCGCAGUGAAUCAGAGCUGCUUUGCCCUUUCCCUGCUUGGAGGUGCUGCGUAGAUGCCAAGUCUCAUUCAUGAAUGAUGCAAGGAUUUGGAAAGCAGGACAAUGAGUAGAGGUGGUGUCCUGCCAGUAAUUGCUGGAAGCAGAGGGGAAGGGCGCUGUAAGAUAUUGGCACAUGGAGCGCAGAGAUAUUCCUGCUCUGGCUGACAGUUCCUAAUAAAGAUAUUUUCAUUGUAAUUGAAAAUUUUCUCAUGAUCCAAUUUCCUGUUCCUAUCAGCAUUGGUUUAUCCUCAUUUCAAGCAUGAUUCUGCUGAAAAACACUCUGUCCAGUGGGCCAGGGUAUCUAUUGGUAUUGCUUCCGACUCGACAGUCAACAAUUAUCUGGGAAACAAGCGUGAGCAGCACAAAAGAAAGAGGGAAAAACAAAUCCUGUGUAUGAGUGUGCAGGUGUUGUGCUUGUAUGCUCAGUUCUUAACAACAGUGGAAAUAAUCUCAGAGUUGCUUGCAAACUGUUACAUUCAGAUGACAAAUGAACUUUUUUGUUUACCACUGCUGUCUUUUCUUCUUUGAAUGGUUAAAUAAAUUGCCAUGAGGUAUUUUCAUUUAGUAUGGAUCCAGAUCCUUUUGGAUCAUGUUCAUAUAAUUUACUCACUGCAUUUCUAUCUAUUGCAUCAGUCAUCCUGUAAUUCUCAUAUGAAUUAAUAUGAUUUUUUUUAUU
This is a long non-coding RNA of Corvus hawaiiensis (hawaiian crow), 1613 nucleotides long. RefSeq lists it as uncharacterized. Lineage: Eukaryota; Metazoa; Chordata; Aves; Passeriformes; Corvidae. The transcript has 3 exons. The record is from RefSeq and is a predicted model, not a curated record.